GACGAACGCUGGCGGCGUGCCUAACACAUGCAAGUCGUACGGUAAGGCCCUUUCGGGGGUUUUCGAGUGGCGAACGGGUGAGUAACACGUGAGUAACCUGCCCAUAACUUGGGGAUAACGCUAGGAAACUGGUACUAAUACUGGAUAUGUGCUCCUGCUGCAUGGUGGGGGUUGGAAAGCUACGGCGGUUGGGGAUGGACACGCGGCCUAUCAGCUUGUUGGUGGGGUAGUGGCAUACCAAGGCGGCGACGGGUAGGCGGCCUGAGAGGGUGACCGGCCACAUUGAGACUGAGAUACGGCCAAGACUCCGACGGGAAGCAGCAGUAGGGAAUGUUGCACUAUGGGAGCAAGCCUGAUGCAGCGACGCCGCGUGCGGGAUGACGAACUUGGGGUUGUAAGCCGAUUUCAGCAGGGACGAGGCUGUUUGUGACGGUACCUGAAGAAGAAGCACCGGCUAACUACGUG
This 465-nucleotide ribosomal RNA is filed under the name uncultured bacterium. Its description in RNAcentral is "partial 16S ribosomal RNA". It matches the Rfam family "Bacterial small subunit ribosomal RNA", at positions 28 to 507 of the family's 1533-position model. The record is from RNAcentral.